UAGGGAAUCUUCGGCAAUGGGGGCAACCCUGACCGAGCAACGCCGCGUGAGUGAAGAAGGUUUUCGGAUCGUAAAGCUCUGUUGUAAGAGAGGAACGUGUGUGAGAGUGGAAAGUUCACACAGUGACGGUAACUUACCAGAAAGGGACGGCUAACUACGUGUCAG
RNAcentral lists this ribosomal RNA (165 nucleotides) under uncultured bacterium. Its description in RNAcentral is "partial 16S rRNA". It matches the Rfam family "Bacterial small subunit ribosomal RNA", at positions 355 to 511 of the family's 1533-position model. The record is from RNAcentral.